CGGGGUGUAGCGCAGCCAGGUUAGCGCGCGUGCUUUGGGAGCACGAGGCCGCCGGUUCGAAUCCGGCCACCCCGA
Molecule: transfer RNA, 75 nt
Filed under: Actinomycetota bacterium
Lineage: Bacteria; Bacillati; Actinomycetota
Description: Actinobacteria bacterium tRNA-Pro
Rfam family: tRNA
About the family: Transfer RNA (tRNA) molecules are approximately 80 nucleotides in length. Their secondary structure includes four short double-helical elements and three loops (D, anti-codon, and T loops).
Source: RNAcentral